ACGCGCAGAACCUUACCAACCCUUGACAUCNUGUGCCACUACCAGAGAUGGUACGUUCCCUUCGGGGACGCAGUGACAGGUGCUGCAUGGCUGUCGUCAGCUCGUGUCGUGAGAUGUUCGGUUAAGUCCGGCAACGAGCGCAACCCACAUCUUUAGUUGCCAGCAGGUUAAGCUGGGCACUCUAGAGAAACUGCCCGUGAUAAGCGGGAGGAAGGUGUGGAUGACGUCAAGUCCUCAUGGCCCUUACGGGUUGGGCUACACACGUGCUACAAUGGCAGUGACAAUGGGUUAAUCCCCAAAAGCUGUCUCAGUUCGGAUUGGGGUCUGCAACUCGACCCCAUGAAGUCGGAAUCGCUAGUAAUCGCGUAACAGCAUGACGCGGUGAAUACGUUCCCGGGCCUUGUACACACCGCCCGUCACACCAUNGGGANNUGGUUCUACCCGACNGACGCUGCGCUAACCCUNNGGNG
Molecule: ribosomal RNA, 470 nt
Filed under: uncultured bacterium
Lineage: Bacteria
Description: bacterial SSU rRNA
Rfam family: Bacterial small subunit ribosomal RNA
Source: RNAcentral